GUAGAAUGGCUGAGUNGAAGCAUUAGACUGUAAAUCUAAAGACAGAGGUUUGUAUUCCUCUUUUUACCA
RNAcentral lists this transfer RNA (69 nucleotides) under Cervus elaphus (red deer). Its description in RNAcentral is "tRNA-Tyr". It matches the Rfam family "tRNA". From Rfam's summary of the family: Transfer RNA (tRNA) molecules are approximately 80 nucleotides in length. Their secondary structure includes four short double-helical elements and three loops (D, anti-codon, and T loops). The record is from RNAcentral. Lineage: Eukaryota; Metazoa; Chordata; Mammalia; Artiodactyla; Cervidae.